AACGAACGCUGGCGGCAUGCCUAACACAUGCAAGUCGAACGAGACCUUCGGGUCUAGUGGCGCAAGGGUGCGUAACGCGUGGGAACCUGCCCUUAGGUUCGGAAUAACUCCCCGAAAGGGGUGCUAAUACCGGAUAAUGUCUUCGGACCAAAGAUUUAUCGCCUUUGGAUGGGCCCGCGUUGGAUUAGCUAGUUGGUAGGGUAAAAGCCUACCAAGGCGACGAUCCAUAGCUGGUCUGAGAGGAUGAUCAGCCACACUGGGACUGAGACACGGCCCAGACUCCUACGGGAGGCAGCAGUGGGGAAUAUUGGACAAUGGGCGAAAGCCUGAUCCAGCAAUGCCGCGUGAGUGAUGAAGGCCUUAGGGUUGUAAAGCUCUUUUAACCGGGAUGAUAAUGACAGUACCGGGAGAAUAAGCGCCGGCUAACUCCGUG
Molecule: ribosomal RNA, 433 nt
Filed under: uncultured bacterium
Lineage: Bacteria
Description: partial 16S ribosomal RNA
Rfam family: Bacterial small subunit ribosomal RNA
Source: RNAcentral